This 293-nucleotide long non-coding RNA is filed under the name Brassica napus (rape). Its description in RNAcentral is "long non-coding RNA (BNAP_LNC002943)". Lineage: Eukaryota; Viridiplantae; Streptophyta; Magnoliopsida; Brassicales; Brassicaceae. The record is from RNAcentral.
GGUUAUUUUCUUUGGGCAUCUCGUUAACGUCAUGGAUUCAUCACGAUAUGAAGAAACGGUCAUGGUGUUGUUUCGAGUAAUGGUGAUGAUGACCGUCAUUGUUACCCUUUUUGGCUGUUGUCUCUGUAUCAAAUUUUUCUCGCGGAUGUGCAGUGAGGAGGAUGGAGCUAUUGUACAGUUGGAUUGGAACCCAUGUAUGAUCAAGGAAAAGAAAGUCUGCGAGUGAAGAGAUUUUAUUAGUUAAUGUCUAUGAGUUAGCAAAAUAGCUUUAUUCCUCUUGUUGAUCAAAAACA